Molecule: transfer RNA, 83 nt
Filed under: bacterium
Lineage: Bacteria
Also listed under: 1 other name
Description: tRNA-Leu
Rfam family: tRNA
About the family: Transfer RNA (tRNA) molecules are approximately 80 nucleotides in length. Their secondary structure includes four short double-helical elements and three loops (D, anti-codon, and T loops).
Source: RNAcentral
GCGAGAAUGGCGGAAUUGGUAGACGCGCUAGACUUAGGAUCUAGUGGAUAAUCUCCGUGAGGGUUCGAGUCCCUCUUCUCGCA